GACGGCGACGCGAGGCCACGGUGGGGGAAAUCCGAGGCUCCGGCUGGGAAACCAUGGGGAGAUGCAAUGGGAGAUGUACGCUGGUCGGAUUCUGCUGCCUGCAGCUGGGGAAGAACUGAAUCGGCGCGAGCUCCCGGGCUGGGAGAGCAGCUCCUGCUCACACCCGGAGAAACUUUGCGCUGCAGAUUGAGGUAGCGGCACUGGAGAGGCAGAUCUUUGAUUUCCUGGGCUACCAGUGGGCACCCAUCCUGGCUAAUUUUUUACACAUCAUGGCCGUUAUUUUGGGUAUUUUUGGGACCAUCCAGUACAGAUCCAAAUACCUCAUGAUGUACGCGGUGUGGCUGGUGCUGUGGGUCGGCUGGAACGCCUUCAUCAUCUGCUUCUACCUGGAGGUCGGACGUUUGUCGCAGGACCGAGACUUCAUCAUGACCUUCAAUACCUCACUGCACCGCUCAUGGUGGAUGGAGAAUGGGCCGGGCUGCCUGGUGACGCCGGUGAUGAACUCCAACCUGGCACCCGAGGACCAUCACGUCAUCACUGUCAGCGGCUGCCUGCUUGACUACCAGUACAUCGAGGUAGUGAGCAGUGCCACGCAGAUAUUCCUGGCGCUCUUUGGCUUUGUCUACGCCUGCUAUGUCAGCAAAGUGUUCCUGGAGGAAGAAGACAGCUGUAAGUGCUUCUUGCUCUCAGUCACGGGGAGGGGAGAACCACAGCACUGCAAAAUGGCCUCAGCUGAUGCCAGCCAGCACCUUGCCAAGGUGGCAGCUCCCGGCUGGUGAUGGGGGAGCAAUGCCUGGGUCGCAGGCAGGUGAAGAGAUCCCUUUAGUUGGGUUUUUUCCCAUUUUUCCAUGCCCAAUGAGGCAAAUGUGCUGGGGUGUGAUGCACUACGCCAUGCCACCAGCAGUUCCCCCCCUCCCAGCCUCAGGGAGGGUGCUGCACCCUGGCCAGGGCUGGGAGAGGAGGGGGACGGGGACACUGAGCCCUGAGCUGCUGCAUCUUCCACAGGACUGCAGCACUCACAGCCUUCGGGUGCAGGAACGGGACAGUUUCAUGCAACGCGUAGGGUCAGGCUUUGUCCCCACACCAGCCCAUGACGAGGCUGAGAUGGUCCCCGGUCCCCGGUCCCUGGUCUCCACACCAGCAUUGCGGCACUGAGUCCAGCUCCCAUUGAAGCCGGGAUGUUCAUCCCCGUGCGCGGCCGCUCAGGGGCAGAUUUGGGGCCGGCAUCGCUCUUGCUGCUCCCCACUGACCCAAAUUCAGAGCAUCUCCUCCGGGACAGAACAUCUCCCCCCAGGUCCCUGGUCUGGUGUGGCAGCGGGGAGAAUUGCCCUUGCUGUAAAGAGCCACUUCUGAUAAAUUCAUGGCGAAUGCUCCUCCUGGUGCGGAUCCAGGCCCAUGGGGGCUGCAGGAGAGGAGCCGUCCUCCCUGCUCACGGCCCCCAGAACCAGCCAUCACCUGCCUUCUCCUUUCGACAGCCACCUGGAGCUUGGGGACAAUGAAAUGGGAAAUAUUAUGAUCCCCCGGCCGGCAUCCCCACAGACAGUGGGGAGGUAGAGCCCUCCUCUACACCUUGAGGUUUUUCACCCCAAAGCAGGGGGAAACCCAGCAAUUUAAGCAAAGUUACAGGCUAAUUUUUAUACAAUCUAUAUUGUGCUUUCCGAUCUGACAACGAUCCCUGCAAACACCCCUCCGGAAGCGCUGAGCACCCCAGCCCCAAUUAACCAGGUGGUUAAGGCUGUAGCCAUCCAACCGCAUUAAAUGCUCAUCUGCCAUUAAUUAAUUCGCACCAGCUGGCAGCUCCCAGCAGCCGACCGCAGGCAGGGAUGUGCCGCAACCGCCAGCGCGGCAAAAGCCACCCAGAUGCGCUCAGCAUUGGGCACAGCAUCGGGAUCAGCAUCGGUGCCGGUGCCAUCGACCCAGAAAUGGGCCCAGCCCAGCCCAGGAGAUGCCCAGGUUCAGCAUCCCCGUGUUUUCCCCCCUCUGCCACUGGGAACCGGUGUAGCGGAAAAGGAAAAUCUCCGUGUGAAAUUGGACACUGCCUGCGGUAAUAACUUGUUUCUAUACCCGGGGAGCUGGCAAAAGGGUUUAUCUACCGCCGCCGGCUUUGAAGCGCGUUUGCAUUCAAACAAACUCUCACAUUCAAUACACUUUUAAUAUUAAUGCUGCUGCAUCCUAAGAUUCAAAUGCAUCUUUUUUAAUGGAAUAUCUUAUUAGAUUUGGAAAUGGAUGGAUGGCGUCAAAAUUGAGAGCUGGCUGAAUAUUAAGUCGGGAAGAUAAAUAUCCUGGGAGAACUGGGCUCCCCCCUCGAGCUUGCUGCUCUUUCUUGGACACCUGUGUGCAAACCCACCCGGAUCACGGCUCCGUGGGGAUUAAUAGAUUGGUUUUGGGGAGAUGGGUCGUGAUAUAGCGCCUGUAACAGCUUGGAUACCCCAACCUGGCCGUGCAUGGUGCCUGUUCCUGGGCUGGCUGAGCAGCCGCUGGUUGUGCCCAUGGGAGGGUUCGGGGCUGGGGGCACGUAGGAAGAUCACGGAAAAAGUUGGGGCACCCUCAGCCACCCAUUGCUCCCACUGCAUCGAGCCGGGGUGAAGGGCUGGGGUCUGCCGCCACGAUCCCUCUGGUGAGUGCCCUGGGGGCUCGUUGGGUGGGUGAUGGGCUCUGCUGGCCGGAGAGGACGAGCCGGCCUGGAAAUCACAGCUGUGAAAACUGAUAUAUUGUUGUCUGCAAUUCCGCUAAAUGACAGGCUUUAAACGAGAUGUAAUUCCCCCAUAAUUCUCCUUAAAUGCCCACUCUGGAGACAAUGAUGGGAUAAUUUUACCCACUUUGUCCAGCCUGAAGGCAAGGGCUGUUGUGGUGGUGAGAAGAAAGCCACAGGGAUCUCUGCAAGUUGGUCCAGCUCUUUUCCCUGGUUUCUCGCUGGCACUUUCCUGGGAUGCUGCCAUGACCUGGGAUGUUGCAGCGCUCCAGGAUGCUGCGGUGACCCAGGAUGCUGCGGUGACCCAGGAUGCUGUGCCUCCCUGGGAUGCUGCAUUUCACUGUGAUGCUGCUAUGACCCCAGAUGCUGCCAUGACCUGGGAUACAGCACUUCCCCAAGAUGCUGUGGUGACCUGGGAUGCUGCGAUGACCCAGGAUGUUGUGGUAUCCUGGAAUGUUGCAGCAGCUUAGGAUACUGAACUUCCCUGGGAUGCUGCACUUUCCUGGGAUGCUGUUGGGACCUGAGAUGCUGUGGUGACCUGGGAUGCUGCAUGUCCCCAGGAUGCUGUGGUGACCGGGAUGCUGUGGUGACCCAGGAUGCUAUUGCAUACUGAGAUGUUGCAUUUCCCUGGGAUGCUGCGCUUGCCUGGGUUGCUGUGGUGACCUGGGAUGCUGCGCUUCCCUGGGAUGAAGCUGCAAACUGUGAUGCUGCACUUCCCUGGGAUGCUGCGGCAACUUGGGAUGCUGCACCUCUCCAAGAUGCUGCUGCAACCCAGGAUGCUGCAUGACCCAUGGGUGCCAUCGGGUUGGGGGGAGGCAGGGCAAUUGCCCCACUGCCCUCCCCAGCUCACCUUGCUGCUCUCCCCCCUCUCCCCAGUCGACUUCAUCGGCGGGUUUGACUCCUACGGCUACCAGGCGCCACAGAAGACAUCACACCUACAGCUACAGCCGCUCUACACAUCCGGGUAACCUCCUCCUGCCCUGGAUCCGGCCCCGGCCCGGCGUGGGAGCCAGAGGCGACAGGACCCCCCCUAGAGCAAACUGUCCCACACCCGACGACCCCGGCGAGGGGGGGGGACACAACGCCGAGCUGCCCGGUCCCCUCCUGCCUCCCCGCACCCCCACAAGACCCCCAAAAACGGAGCCGGGAGCUGCACAUCCAUCCCACCCUGGAAGCCUCUGAGCCCAAACCACCCACCCACAGCAGGAUCGGGGGGGGGGCUGGAUAUGGGGGGACCCCCCCAAGCCGUGCCACCCCCUCGGGCUCCCACAGCCUCCCCAGGAUGGGGACAUGCGGGGAGGUGGCAUUGCUCACUGGACACCGUUUUCUUCUGUUUCUCCUAGCCUGGUUUUUCCUUGGAGCAGCAGGGCCCUUCCCGGCGUGCCGGGCAGGAGGGGGGCCCAGAGUGGGAUUGGGGCAAAAACCAGCUGGUUUGGAGCAAACUAGGACCAGGGGUGAGGGAUAAACACAGCUUUGGGGACAGCGGGGCACAAAGAGCAGCUUCGUCCUCUGCGGGGUUGGGACAAUUUCCUGAAACGCUGGGUUGGGAGUUGGGCUGGCCCCAAAAAUGGGGUUUUUGCUCCCAAAUGGAAUUUUCCAGCCCCCCUGGUUGGAUGAAACAGCGUCGAAGGGGCUCAGUCCUGGAUGCUCCCUUCACCCUGAGGAGCCGGAUCUGGCCAUCAGCAUCCUGCCUCGACCCCCCCCCCCACCGCCAAAACCUCGGGAUGGGGGGGAGGGACAGAGCACCCCAAAAUCCCCCUGCAAGCCACCCCAUCCCUGCCACAUUUUGGGGGGCGUCUUGCUCAAAUUUGGCAAUACUGACGCUGCUUUCAACACAGCCCCUUUUUGGCUGUUUUAACAAAUCUAGUGAAUGUUUUGGGUUAGGUUUUUAUUUUUAUUUUUAAUUAUUGGGUUGGGGUUUUGUUUGUUUGGUUUUUUUUUAAUUUAAAGUGCCUGAGUAGAUUCUGGCUGAGCACGACCCCCCCGGCGAGCCCAUGCCGGGCCCCCCCAAGGUCGACAUCGUGCCUUCAGCAAUGCUCUGCCCACCUUGGGGCUGCUCCAGUGGCCCCCGGCCCCUCGCCCAGGGCUGCGGGGGGGGCAGCUCAGUGCCUCUCUGACCCCCCCCCGGCCCCUCCAUCCUUUCAGGGUCUUGGUGGCAAAUCCAUCCAUCACGUUCAGCGGCAGAAGAGGGGUGACAUCGGCAUGUGGGGAAUGAUUAUUUUUGGGGGGGGAAUGUGCAAGGUCUAUUGGGCAGCGAUCACUUUGCAAAAUGAUGAUGAGCUGGGAAUUAAAAGCCUCGGAAGAAGCUGGAAGGAAAAAAGUUGUUUCACGAAGCAUCCCAGCUCCCCCCAACCUCGUUGUUCUCUUUCUUUUCCUGGAGGUGGGAUGCGGUUUCUCCUGGAUCACUGGAUCUGGCCCCAAGCCCACCCUUUGCAUCUGGGAGCCGGGGGGUUCACAUGAAUUUUGCCUCCCAGGUGUUUUUUCUCCAGUCCUGGGGGUUCUUUGGGGAUUUUUUUUUUGCACCCUGGAGUGAUUCUUUUUGUCCUUCCCAACAAGCAGCCGUGAAGUGCCAACGACCGAAGGUGCCCGAGCCCAAACCCUGGGCAGGGGACAGGCUGCAUCCCCCCGCCAGCCCCUCCGCUGCCUCCAGCCAAGCUGCGAACUUUACAGGCAAUAAUUUUUCCACCCUUUCCCCCUCUUUUUUCCAAGGAAAAUAGUGUUUUUCAGGCAACAGAUCCCCCAUUUCCCCCGAAACACAUCCCCAUCCCCAAGUGCUGCCCAGCCCCAGGGGCAGCAGCAUCUCCAGGGUUUAUUUUCCUCUCCAGGACCAAGGAUGCUCUUGCUGACCUGCCGUGGGAUGGGAUGGGAUGGGAUGGGAUGGGAUGGGAUGGGAUGGGAUGGGAUGGGAUGGGAUGGGAUGGGCAGACACCCACCUGCUCAAAACCCUUCUCAAACCUAGCAGGAAGCAGAAAGAAAACCUUGCCGUCAUUUAAAACUCAUUCAAAAGAGUUUCCCUCCCUCCUGAGCUCGGCAGGAGCCAGGCACCGGCGCUCCGCGACCUUUUUUUUUUUUCUUUUCCAUUGGCUUGUUUUUAUAUAAGACUGUAUUUGUAACGUGAACCGAGGAUUUCUUUUCUAUUCUGUAAUUAUAAAAGUCGAAGGAAAGUUUCA
RNA transcript from Aquila chrysaetos chrysaetos, 5862 nucleotides. It is a transcript of the gene named sodium/potassium transporting ATPase interacting 1, with no coding region annotated. Lineage: Eukaryota; Metazoa; Chordata; Aves; Accipitriformes; Accipitridae. The transcript is spliced from 7 exons. The record is from RefSeq and is a predicted model, not a curated record.